AAACUUCCUAGGUAGGGAUCUGCUGUGAUCGUGAAGACGGUUUUUCGCGGUGGAGACUUUUUGUUUCGGUUCUCUAUGUGCUGACGUUUAUGUGAUUUCCCCGAAUGCGGGAAAACUCCGCUGCGUAAUUUGUGGUAAUUGGGAACUGCGUUCGCCCUUUCCUGU
Molecule: small nuclear RNA, 165 nt
Organism: Ailuropoda melanoleuca (giant panda)
Lineage: Eukaryota; Metazoa; Chordata; Mammalia; Carnivora; Ursidae
Gene: U1
Rfam family: U1 spliceosomal RNA
About the family: U1 is a small nuclear RNA (snRNA) component of the spliceosome (involved in pre-mRNA splicing). Its 5' end forms complementary base pairs with the 5' splice junction, thus defining the 5' donor site of an intron.
Source: Ensembl